GACGAACGCUGGCGGCGUGCUUAACACAUGCAAGUCGAACGGAAAGGCCCUGCUUUUGUGGGGUGCUCGAGUGGCGAACGGGUGAGUAACACGUGAGUAACCUGCCCUUGACUUUGGGAUAACUUCAGGAAACUGGGGCUAAUACCGGAUAGGAGCUCCUGCUGCAUGGUGGGGGUUGGAAAGUUUCGGCGGUUGGGGAUGGACUCGCGGCUUAUCAGCUUGUUGGUGGGGUAGUGGCUUACCAAGGCUUUGACGGGUAGCCGGCCUGAGAGGGUGACCGGCCACAUUGGGACUGAGAUACGGCGCAGACUCCUACGGGAGGCAGCAGUGGGGAAUAUUGCACAAUGGGCGGAAGCCUGAUGCAGAAACGCCGCGUGCGGGAUGACGGCCUUCGGGUUGUAAACCGCUUUCGCAUGUGACGAAGCGUGAGUGACGGUAAUGGGUAAAGAAGCACCGGCUAACUACGUG
This 468-nucleotide ribosomal RNA is filed under the name uncultured bacterium. Its description in RNAcentral is "partial 16S ribosomal RNA". It matches the Rfam family "Bacterial small subunit ribosomal RNA", at positions 28 to 507 of the family's 1533-position model. The record is from RNAcentral.